Molecule: transfer RNA, 65 nt
Filed under: Typhlatya monae
Lineage: Eukaryota; Metazoa; Arthropoda; Malacostraca; Decapoda; Atyidae
Description: tRNA-Phe
Source: RNAcentral
ACUUAUAUAGCUUAUAUAAAGCACUACAUUGAAGCUGUAGGGAAGGCGAUAAUCGCCUUUAAGUA